RNAcentral lists this ribosomal RNA (1450 nucleotides) under uncultured prokaryote. Its description in RNAcentral is "partial 16S ribosomal RNA". It matches the Rfam family "Bacterial small subunit ribosomal RNA". The record is from RNAcentral.
AGAGUUUGAUCCUGGCUCAGGGUGAACGCUGGCGGCGCGCUUAAUGCAUGCAAGUCGAACGUGCCUUCGGGCAAGUGGCAGACGGCUGAGUAACGCGUGAGUAACGCACCCUUCGGUGGGGUAUAGCCUCGGGAAACUGAGGGUAAUCCCGCAUACGAUCCCGAUGCCCUGGUGUCGGGAUGAAAGCCUUCGGGCGCCGGAGGAGCGGCUCGCGUCCUAUCAGGUAGUUGGUGAGGUAACGGCUCACCAAGCCUAUGACGGGUAGCUGGUCUUAGAGGACGAUCAGCCAGAGGGGGACUGAGACACGGCCCCCACUCCUACGGGAGGCAGCAGCAGGGAAUUUUGGGCAAUGGACGAAAGUCUGACCCAGCGACGUCGCGUGGGGGAUGAAGGCCUUCGGGUCGUAAACCCCUUUUUUCGGGGAAGAGUGAGGACGGUACCCGAGGAAUAAGCCUCGGCUAACUACGUGCCAGCAGCCGCGGUAAUACGUAGGAGGCGAGCGUUGUCCGGAUUUACUGGGCGUAAAGGGCGAGUAGGCGGUCUAUUAAGUCUCAUGUGAAAUCUCCCGGCUUAACUGGGAGGGGUCAUGGGAAACUGGCAGACUUGAGGGCAGUAGAGGAGAGUGGAAUUCCCGGAGUAGCGGUGAUAUGCGUAGAUACCGGGAGGAACACCCGAGGCGAAGGCGACUCUCUGGGCUGCACCUGACGCUGAGGCGCGAAAGCAUGGGGAGCGAACCGGAUUAGAUACCCGGGUAGUCCAUGCCCUAAACGAUGGAUACUAGAUAUGGGGGGUAUCGACCCCCCCCGUGUCGUAGCUAACGUGAUAAGUAUCCCGCCUGGGGAGUACGGCCGCAAGGCUAAAACUCAAAGGAAUUGACGGGCCCCCGCACAAGCAGCGGAGCGUGUGGUUUAAUUCGAUGAUAAGCGAAGAACCUUACCAGGGCUUGACAUGCUUCUGUAAUCUCGGGAAACCGAGCCCUCCUUCGGGACAGAUGCACAGAUGUUGCAUGGCCGUCGUCAGCUCGUGCCGUGAGGUGUUGGGUUAAGUCCCGCAACGAGCGCAACCCUUAUCGUUAGUUGUCUUUUUCUAGCGAGACUGCCCCUAAAAAGGGGGAGGAAGGUGGGGAUGACGUCAGGUCAGCACGGCUCUUACGUCCUGGGCUACACACACGCUACAAUGGCCGGUACAGAGGGUUGCGAAGGAGCGAUCCGGAGCUAAUCCCACAAAGCCGGUCUCAGUUGGGAUUGCAGGCUGAAACCCGCCUGCAUGAACGUGGAGUUGCUAGUAACCGCAGGUCAGCACACUGCGGUGAAUACGUUCCCGGGCCUUGUACACACCGCCCGUCACGUCAUGGAAGUCGGUAACACUUGAAGUCGCUGGGCUAACCCUUCGGGGAGGCAGGCGCCGAGGGUGGGAUCGGUGACUGGGACGAAGUCGUAACAAGGUAACC